ACGAUCUCUUCGGAGAUAGUGGCAGACGGGUGAGUAACGCGUGGGAAUAUACCUUUCGGUACGGAACAACAGUUGGAAACGACUGCUAAUACCGUAUACGCCCUAUGGGGGAAAGAUUUAUCGCCGAGGGAUUAGCCCGCGUUAGAUUAGCUAGUUGGUGAGGUAAUGGCUCACCAAGGCGACGAUCUAUAGCUGGUCUGAGAGGAUGAUCAGCCACACUGGGACUGAGACACGGCCCAGACUCCUACGGGAGGCAGCAGUGGGGAAUAUUGGACAAUGGGGGCAACCCUGAUCCAGCCAUGCCGCGUGAGUGAUGAAGGCCCUAGGGUUGUAAAGCUCUUUCAGCGAGGAGGAUAAUGACGUUACUCGCAGAAGAAGCCCCGGCUAACUUCGUGCCAGCAGCCGCGGUAAUACGAAGGGGGCUAGCGUUGUUCGGAAUCACUGGGCGUAAAGCGCACGUAGGCGGACUUUUAAGUCAGGGGUGAAAUCCCAGAGCUCAACUCUGGAACUGCCUUUGAUACUGGAAGUCUUGAGUCCGAGAGAGGUGAGUGGAACUCCGAGUGUAGAGGUGAAAUUCGUAGAUAUUCGGAAGAACACCAGUGGCGAAGGCGGCUCACUGGCUCG
This 624-nucleotide ribosomal RNA is filed under the name Labrenzia sp. AU424_Ted1_NSW. RNAcentral describes it as "bacterial SSU rRNA". It matches the Rfam family "Bacterial small subunit ribosomal RNA", at positions 66 to 736 of the family's 1533-position model. The record is from RNAcentral. Lineage: Bacteria; Pseudomonadati; Pseudomonadota; Alphaproteobacteria; Hyphomicrobiales; Stappiaceae.